Molecule: ribosomal RNA, 485 nt
Filed under: Phonarellus minor
Lineage: Eukaryota; Metazoa; Arthropoda; Insecta; Orthoptera; Gryllidae
Description: partial 16S ribosomal RNA
Rfam family: Bacterial large subunit ribosomal RNA
Source: RNAcentral
YUUYUUGAUUUAAWUUGAAGUCGUGCCUGCCCACUGAGUAUUUUAAGGGCCGCGGUAUUUUGACCGUGCAAAGGUAGCAUAAUCAUUAGUCUUUUAAUUGGAGGCUGGAAUGAAAGGUUUGAUGAAACGAUUACUGUCUCAAAAUUAUUUAUUGAAUUUUACUUUUGAGUUAAAAGGCUUAAAUAUAAAAGGGGGACGAGAAGACCCUAUAGAUCUUUAUAGUAUGUUUUUUGUUUUUUUUUUUGGUGUAUCAUGAUAAAUUGAAAAUUUACUAUUUCAUUGGGGUGAUGAGAGAAUAUAAUAACUUCUUUAUAUUUUACCUUGAUAGAUGAUUAGAUGAUCCUUUAAUAUGGAAUUAAGAUUAAGAUACCUUAGGGAUAACAGCGUAAUUUUGUUGGAGAGUUCUUAUCGAUAAUGAAGAUUGCGACCUCGAUGUUGGAUUAAGAAUAUAGUUAGGUGCAGGAGUUWAAUAUAUKGGYCYGUYC